Molecule: ribosomal RNA, 262 nt
Filed under: uncultured bacterium
Lineage: Bacteria
Description: partial 16S ribosomal RNA
Rfam family: Bacterial small subunit ribosomal RNA
Source: RNAcentral
CCGCGGUAAUACGGAGGGAGCUAGCGUUGUUCGGAAUUACUGGGCGUAAAGCGCGCGCAGGCGGUCCUUUAAGUCUGAUGUGAAAGCCCACGGCUCAACCGUGGAGGGUCAUUGGAAACUGGGGGACUUGAGUGCAGAAGAGGAGAGCGGAAUUCCACGUGUAGCGGUGAAAUGCGUAGAGAUGUGGAGGAACACCAGUGGCGAAGGCGGCUCUCUGGUCUGUAACUGACGCUGAGGCGCGAAAGCGUGGGGAGCGAACAGG